Long non-coding RNA from Calidris pugnax (ruff), 902 nucleotides. RefSeq lists it as uncharacterized. The record is from RefSeq and is a predicted model, not a curated record. The transcript has 4 exons. Lineage: Eukaryota; Metazoa; Chordata; Aves; Charadriiformes; Scolopacidae.
UAUGCGUAUAGUGCUAUUUAAAGCUGAAAGCCUGUUUUUCCAAUUAAAGAAUCACAGAAUGGUAGGGGUUGGAAAGGACCUUCGGAGAUCAUCUAGUCCAACCCCCCUGCCAAAGCAGGUUCCACCUAGAGCAGAUUGGACAGGAAUGUAUCCAGGAAUACAGGACGUAUGAAGAUGCCUGGGAUAACCAACCUCUCUAUCAGCAGUUUGCUAACAGCUUUUGCCAGGAUUUGACAAGGAUUUUUGUUCAUCUUGAAAAAUUGCAUAUUCUGAGGAGUUUCUUCUCAAUGCUCCCCUACACCUUGCACACCCUGCUGAGGGAAGGCAGCUUGUUUUCUGCACGGCACUUCUUCCUGAAAGAUGGUUUCAAAGCUAUGGGUUUGAUCUCUCUCUUGGUACUGAAAGAUCAUAAACAAAUAGGUCUGUCGAGUUAUUUUUCUACUGGAAGCCUUUAUGAUUCUGUCGAAGAGGAAACUGAACUAACUCAAUAAGCAAUGGACCAUAAGGCAGUAAACUGAUACAUUGUUAAUUUUUAUUGCUAAAGUUCCUUCCUACUACUCUGGUUCAAUGUGCUAUUCAUAUUUUAUUAUGCUGAUUUUUAUGCUUGCAAUGGCAAAUCCUUCUAAUAGUCUACUCAAUAUUUUCUGUCAAAACGCGUUGGCCGUAACAAGCAGCAAGGCAGGGAGCACGGCGAUGUCCUCAUCCAAAAAAACCAAGAAAGAGGCCAGACACAUUACAAAUGGACCUGCAAGUUGUUGGCCAGGGCUACCAGAGCACCUGGCUGGUUGCUCUAGGGACUUGUUGUAGAAAGGCCUUGGAAGAGGAACAUUAAAGGCCCAAUGAAGGAGGAAGCAACGCAUAUGAAAGUAGUACAAAAAAUUGUUUGUGGGAGGUGCUCAGGA